RNAcentral lists this ribosomal RNA (369 nucleotides) under uncultured organism. Its description in RNAcentral is "bacterial SSU rRNA". It matches the Rfam family "Bacterial small subunit ribosomal RNA", at positions 526 to 896 of the family's 1533-position model. The record is from RNAcentral.
CGGAGGUGGCAAGCGUUACUCGGAAUUAUUGGGUGUAAAGGGCAAGUAGGCGGUUUAGUGUGUGGGGGGUGAAAUACUUCGGCUCGAUCGGAGAACAGCCUUCCAAACUACUAGACUUGAGUAUGACAGAGGAAAUGGAAUUCUAGGUGUAAGGGUGAAAUCUGUAGAUAUCUAGAAGAACACCAGCUGCGAAGGCGAUUUUCUGGGUCAUUACUGACGCUAAAUUGCGAAAGCUAGGGGAGCAAACAGAAUUAGAUACUCUGGUAGUCCUAGCCGUAAACGAUGAGCACUAGGUGUCGGGUCCUUUAGGAUUCGGUGCCGCAGCUAACGCAUUAAGUGCUCCACCUGGGGACUACGGUCGCAAGGCUA